AAAUAAGAAACAAUUACUUGUAUUUAGUUUCGACCUAAAAUUUUGAUGAACUUCAUCCUUAUUUU
RNAcentral lists this transfer RNA (65 nucleotides) under Tiniocellus spinipes. Its description in RNAcentral is "tRNA-Arg". Lineage: Eukaryota; Metazoa; Arthropoda; Insecta; Coleoptera; Scarabaeidae. The record is from RNAcentral.